Molecule: ribosomal RNA, 465 nt
Filed under: uncultured bacterium
Lineage: Bacteria
Description: partial 16S ribosomal RNA
Rfam family: Bacterial small subunit ribosomal RNA
Source: RNAcentral
CCUACGGGUGGCAGCAGUGGGGAAUAUUGCGCAAUGGGCGAAAGCCUGAUGCAGCGACGCCGCGUGAGGGAUGAAGGUCUUCGGAUCGUAAACCUCUGUCAGCAGGGAAGCACGGUCACUGUGCUAAUCAGCAGUGAAUUGACGGUACCUGCCAAGGAAGCACCGGCUAACUCCGUGCCAGCAGCCGCGGUAAUACGGAGGGUGCGAGCGUUAAUCGGAAUUAAUGGGCGUAAAGCGCUCGUAGGCGGUAUGUCAAGUCAAGGGUGAAAUCCCCGCGCUCAACGUGGGAACUGCCUUUGAAACUGGCAAACUGGAGUGUGUGAGAGGAUAGUGGAAUUCCAGGUGUAGGAGUGAAAUCCGUAGAUAUCUGGAGGAACAUCAGUGGCGAAGGCGACUAUCUGGCACAUAACUGACGCUGAGGAGCGAAAGCGUGGGUAGCAAACAGGAUUAGAUACCCGGGUAGUC